RNAcentral lists this ribosomal RNA (460 nucleotides) under uncultured bacterium. RNAcentral describes it as "SSU rRNA". It matches the Rfam family "Bacterial small subunit ribosomal RNA", at positions 26 to 518 of the family's 1533-position model. The record is from RNAcentral.
AGGAUGAACGCUGGCGGUCUGCUUAACACAUGCAAGUCGAACGGGCGUAGCAAUACGUUAGUGGCGGACGGGUGAGUAACGCGUGAGAAUCUACCUUCAGGACGGAGACAACAGUUGGAAACGACUGCUAACCCCCGAUGUACUGAAAAGGCAAAUAUUUAUAGCCUGAAGAAGAGCUCGCGUCCGAUUAGCUAGUUGGAGAGGUAAAAGCUCACCAAGGCGACGAUCGGUAGCUGGUCUGAGAGGACGAUCAGCCACACUGGGACUGAGACACGGCCCAGACUCCUACGGGAGGCAGCAGUGGGGAAUUUUCCGCAAUGGGCGAAAGCCUGACGGAGCGAAGACCGCGUGGGGGAAGAAGGCUCUUGGGUUGUAAACCCCUUUUCUCUGGGAAGAAGUUGUGAAGCAGCCUGACGGUACCAGAGGAAUCAGCAUCGGCUAACUCCGUGCCAGCAGCCGC